AUGUGUCUUAGAAACGUUUCACUUACAGGCUUGGACUACUCUGCAGGUGACGUGAAAAGGAUCAAGGACAAGAGUAAAGGAAAGGUUGGAGGAGAGAAACAUAGCAUUGAAUCUCAGGACCACAAAUGCAGAACGACACAGGAAAAAGAAAAAGACAUUAAACAAAGACCUAACUCGGUCUCCCCUGAGGAGCAAGCAAAGGAGACCCAGCAGAAAGAGAAGAAGAAGAGCAUCCAUCCAGCUGUGGCGGCCCUGCAGCUGUUCACUCUCUUCUGCUGUGGUGGGAAAGUCAAGCUGAGGAAGACUCGUCCCUCUCAGAACAGACAGAGUAGAAAGGACCAGGACAAAGAUAAUGCAUCUGAUACUGGUUCAGACUUGUCUGGAGGUGAUGUUACAACCAAAAGGGUCAAGGACAAGAGAAAUGGAAAGGAAAAUCAAAGGACACCCCGGCAAGUGAAGACCCCUGUGGAGGAAAUUUACAUAAGACCUGACUCUCCGACUCUACCACGUGCCCACAGCUCCCUCUCUCAAUUUUCCCUGGCUCGGAACCUGGCCAUCCUCCCGCUGGAGUGGCAGCUACCCGGAGUCCCUCUGCCCACCUCGUCUAUGGCAACUAGGACAGAGAGAACGCCAUCCUCUACCAACACUUCGACACAUGCGCAGAUGGAAACACAGACAUUAAAUAUGAACACAGACACACAGACCACUUCUACCUCUCAGAGCCAGAUCUCCAUGGUCUCAUCGGAGACCAUGAUAGAUCUUCACACGUCAGACUCCAUUACCCAGACCUCCACUCUUGACAUGGCACUGACCCCUGAGAGCACUAAGGACAUGAUCACUACUGAUGAGGAUGUGAAGGAUGACUCUGCUAAAGAUUUGAUCUCCACCCUAACAGACACCUCUAUGGAGAAAUCCAUCAGUGAGACCAGCCUGAAAGACCUCAUUGCUGAGUAUGAAGAUGACAAUGAGCUGAAGGAUAUGGCUGCCUCCGCUACCCCUGCUACUGAUAAUGCCAGUGAGGAUGCAAUGCUGCUGGAGAUUGCAGCACUUUUUGACUGAUUACAUGUUGACAGUGGAGACCGAGCUGCCUCUGCAUCUCUGAAGAGCCAAUAGACCUAAUGAACAUUUCAAUGUAGCAAAAGCUAUACUUUGAUCAAUUAAUAAAACAUUUUUUCUGCAGCAAAUUUUCACUACAGUUGAUAUGUGACGCAGCAUGUUUAGAUUAGACCUAUUUGUUUGAAUUCACCAAAAAUAAUAAAUAUUACUGCCAAGGGAACAAUCAAACUACUACAGGUAGGGGAGAGUGAAUAUAUCAGCAUAGAGUUCAUUUGGACAAUAAUGAUCCAUAAGCAUAUUGCAUUCUGUAAUGUAUGAAAUAACAUUCACCCACAGCGAAUACAAAUCAGACGUGUUCUAUUUUCUCCCUCUGUCCUUCCCUCCCACAUCCUGAUGAGGUUUAGAUCGUCAUGUUAUCCAGCCCUUAAACUGUUUAGCAUUUUAAUAACACCUCGCAAACUCAGGGCCUAAUUACCUUUGUUACACAUGCAUCAAAUAGAGUCCUCCUGUCACCACAUAUCUGAGCCACCUGAAGAUGCUUUGUUACUGGUGGGUUUCCAACAGAUUACAGGGAGAUUGGUUAAGUAAGUCAACCUAAAUAAGGAUGGUGGGAACAUCCUCAUACUACAGCACAUCAUUCUCUUUGCCUAUAUUACAGGAGGGGAGGAUAUAUUGGUAUCAUCAGAGUAAUUGAUUAGCACACAUACUGUAUGUGUCGUUUUAUCACCUUGAAUGGUGAGAGAAUAGAGAGCUUUGAAACUAUUGAAUUAAGUAUUAAAAUACCAGGUGAAAAAUGCUCCGUUAGAAAAUCACUGAGAAUUUAGGUAUUUUAUGAAUUCUCACAUGGAAGAUUUGGCUCAAACUGCACUUUUCUGUCUCUGUCAUGCCUGUGGUCUGCAUGGAUAAUGAGCUGAGAGAAGCAGUAGUAGCAGCACAUCGUUUAGGGCUACAGCCAAGCUGUCCCUCACCUGAGAAACCCCCUAGUUGUACAUGAGUGCACUCUCCACAAUAAAGAUCAGCCUGACAUCAACAUAGUGUUGACAAAGUAGACAUGGAACUAAAUCAACAUAACAUAGAUACUGUACAUGUAUGUAAUUAAGCAUGACGUUUCUGAGGAUUGUUAAUCUAGAAAAGAUGCAGAACAUUAACUCUGAAAGGGGAGGGAGAGAAGAGAGGGGGAUGACUGGGUGGAUAUAGAGGAGAGACAGUAGGAGGGAUGGUGAGAUGAAUCCAUCUAUGAAUUCAAAUAUUAAUCUACCCAAUAAGGAGAUCAAAGUGUCUCUCACCCAGAUGUACACACAGACAUGCACGUAUACACACCUACACACAAAAACACACACACGCUCACACCCACUCCUCUAUCCACAUGAAGUGGUCAGGGCAUCACAGUGAUCUAGUUACAAGGACAUUGAGAGAAGCCAUUUCUUUCCUCUAGAGACUGUAACAUUGAUGAGGUCUCCAACAAGAAGUGACCAGUCUAUCCUCAGGGGGAUACUACUGACAACACAUUGAAAAUGGGUGUGGUUAUAUCCUGCCUGUUUGGCCCUGUCCGGGGGUAUUGUCGGAUGGGGCCACAUUGCCUCCCGACCCCUCCUGUCUCAGCCUCCAGUAUUUAUGCUGCUGUAGAGUAUGUGUCGGGGGGCUAGGGUCAGUCUGUUAUAUCUGGAGUAUUUCUCCUGUGUUAUCCGGCGUCCUGUGUGAAUUUAAGUAUGCUCUCUCUAAUUAUCUUUCUUUCUUUCUUUCUCUUGGAGGACCUGAGCCCUAGGACCAUGCCUAGCCUGGCCUGGCCUGAUGACUCCUUGCUGUCCCCAGUCCACCUGGCCGUGCUUCUGCUCCAGUUUAAACUUUUAAACUUUUUUUUGGCGAUUGACUAGGCAGAGGGGGGGGUCGGAUUAACUACACACAGAGCCUGAGUGCGGCUGGGGCAGAAUGGAUUACCGUGAUUAAUGGACAGUCCAGCAUGCAUCAGCUAUGUAGACAAGUGAUCAGUGUCCAGGGGGCAGCGGUGGAUGGGGCAGGGAAGCUGGACUGGCGAGUGUUAUCCAGGUUAGAAAACUAACAAUGACUAAAUAGCUUGUAGCCAGUUAGCUGGUUAGCUUCUGGAGGUUCUUGAGUGUGUUCUAAAAAUUAAAAAAUAAUAGCGGUUCCGUAUCACAUUGGGUGAGGCAGGUUACUGGAAGGUAUAAACAAAUAAAAAAUCGAAAAGGGAUAGAAAGUAAAUAUGGGUUCAGUGAGUGUUUGGGACGCGGCGAUUCAGACGGUUAGCAGGCCUGUGCUAACAAGCUAACAGUUAGUAGGCCGGUGCUAAACACGGUAGCAGUUAGCGGACCGGGCUAAACAAGCUAGCAGUUAGCAGGCCGAAUUUGCAAGCAAGGAGAUAGCAAGGGCUAGCCUUUGGGGGACGUCGCGAUGGGGUGAGUCUGUGUAUUCCUCUUCAUGCGGUGACAUCGAUGGACCGGUCGUGGGUCCGGAUAUUGUAGCCCAGGAGCUCAAAAUGUUCCGUUUGCGGUGCGAAUCCGGGGAUGAAAAAUAAAAAUAAAAAAAAUAGUUCCGUUAUGCUCUGGUUAGAGUCGCGUUGUUCGAACUGGCGAGAGCUUUCCGAGCUAAAGGUUAGCUGAUGACCGGUUAGCUGAAGACCGCUAGCAAUGUUUUGCUGACUGAAUAGCUGGUAGUUAGUUGGCUAGCUUCAGUUGAGGGGUACCAGAUCCGAAGUAAAUAUAAAUACUUUAGGAAAAAUAGCUACGUUGGAUGAGGCGGGUUGCAGGAGAGUAUUUAGAAGAAGUUGAGGUUCAGCAAAAUGUUUUAAAAGAUAUGCGAAGAAAAAAACGAAAACAAACGAUAUAUACAAGGGACACAACAACACGUCCUACUGCUACGCCAUCUUGGGAAGAAAGGAUUAAAGUGUGCCUGUUCACUACACUCUGCUCUCCUGCACCUGACUUUGCCUCCCGUACACACCUUUGACAGUCAUCUAUGAACAUUUGAAUAUCUUGGCUAUGUUCUGUUACAAUCUCCACCCGGCACAGCCAGAAGAGUACUGGCCUCCCCUCAUAGCCUGGUUCAUCUCUAGGUUUCUUCCUAGGUUCUGGCCUUUCUAGGGAGUUUUUCCUAGCCAUCGUGCUUCUACACCUGCAUUGCUUGCUGUUUGGGGGUUUAGGCUGGGUAUCGUUACAGCACUUUGAGAUAUCAGCAGAUGUAAGAAGGGCUUCAUAAAUACAUUUGAUUUGAUUUAUAAAUACAUUUGAUUUGACAGACAGGCUCUAUUAUGGUGGGUCAGCUGCUGUUUUUGCUGGCCCUGUCUUUACCCUGCUCAUAGGACAUGAUGGACAGUGUGUGUGUGUACGUGUCUUCAGUAAUGUGUGUGUGCAUGCGUUCUUAGAAAUGCAUGCGUGGUUGCAAACACAUAAAUGUGUGUGUGUGGUGUGUGAUUGUGCGUGCAUACCUGCAAACCUAUCGUUAGUGGUCUGAGUGAAAUGGAUAAACUACUGUGAUACAUCCAGGUGCCUCCAGAGGUGUUCGCCUAUCAUGUUCUGUGAGCUUUUAUCACUAUUCACCUCUGCUGAUGACACACAGAGUAAUUAUCAGGCUGACAUGUAGCACUUAAAAGCUGACACUAACAGGUGCUGAGCCAGGGAGGCUUGCUGUCUCUAAUGCUACAUGUGGCGGCGAUCUGCUUUUAAUAGUGCAAACAUAGAGGAGGUAUGAAUAUACAUGUUGCCAUGACUCUUGCCCAUUGUGCUGCAUGUAUUCACUGAGUCGAGUCUUGGACUACAACAACAUUGUAUUCUGAUUGCCAACAGUAGUAGUCUGUUGAAUGUGGCACUUGAUAAUCAACUGUAUAACCAUACUCAUUGUGGAGUGAUUGACCUGUGCUCAGCCACUCUCUCCUUGCAACAUGAUGCAGGCAAAUUAUGAGAAAAUCAACUGCUGCAAUAGGGUGAAGGCAGAGGCUGAAUAUGAGUACAGGCAGAGAGAGAGAGAGGUAGAGAGAAGGAAAGAGAGAGACAGACAUACAGUGGUAGGACCUUAAUUUGAUCCAGCAGGAAAAUACAGACAUACAGGCAGACUAGGUCCAUAGAAAUAGGCCGUUCCAGUGUUCUGGGUGGAUAUGUAGAUAGGUAACUAACUUGAUGAUGUCACAAUGCCCCUUUACCAGGAAUGGAGCACUAGUUGUUAUA
RNAcentral lists this long non-coding RNA (5234 nucleotides) under Oncorhynchus mykiss (rainbow trout). RNAcentral describes it as "lncRNA (ENSOMYG00000064156.1)". Lineage: Eukaryota; Metazoa; Chordata; Actinopteri; Salmoniformes; Salmonidae. The record is from RNAcentral.